This 484-nucleotide ribosomal RNA is filed under the name uncultured bacterium. RNAcentral's name for it is "partial 16S ribosomal RNA". It matches the Rfam family "Bacterial small subunit ribosomal RNA", at positions 29 to 507 of the family's 1533-position model. The record is from RNAcentral.
AUUGAACGCUGGCGGCAUGCUUUACACAUGUAAGUCGAACGGCAGCGCGGGCUUCGGCCUGGCGGCGAGUGGCGAACGGGUGAGUAAUACAUCGGAACGUGCCCAGUAGUGGGGGAUAGCUCGGCGAAAGCCGGAUUAAUACCGCAUACGACCUGAGGGUGAAAGCGGGGGAUCUUCGGACCUCGCGCUAUUGGAGCGGCCGAUGGCAGAUUAGCUAGUUGGUGGGGUAAAGGCCUACCAAGGCGACGAUCUGUAGCUGGUCUGAGAGGACGACCAGCCACACUGGGACUGAGACACGGCCCAGACUCCUACGGGAGGCAGCAGUGGGGAAUUUUGGACAAUGGGCGAAAGCCUGAUCCAGCAAUGCCGCGUGUGUGAUGAAGGCCUUCGGGUUGUAAAGCACUUUUGGCGGGAACGAAAAGGACUGUGCCAAUACCACGGUUCGAUGACGGUACCCGCAGAAUAAGCACCGGCUAACUACGUG